This 439-nucleotide ribosomal RNA is filed under the name uncultured bacterium. Its description in RNAcentral is "partial 16S ribosomal RNA". It matches the Rfam family "Bacterial small subunit ribosomal RNA", at positions 339 to 795 of the family's 1533-position model. The record is from RNAcentral.
CUACGGGGUGCUGCAGUGAGGAAUAUUGCACAAUGGGGGGAACCCUGAUGCAGCAACGCCGCGUGGAGGAUGACGCAUUUCGGUGUGUAAACUCCUUUUAUAUGUCAAGAAAAUGACGGUAGCAUAUGAAUAAGCACCGGCUAACUCCGUGCCAGCAGCCGCGGUAAUACGGAGGGUGCAAGCGUUACUCGGAAUCACUGGGCGUAAAGGGCGCGUAGGCGGGUUGGAAAGUCAGGUGUGAAAUCCUACAGCUUAACUGUAGAACUGCACUUGAAACUUCUAAUCUAGAGUCUGGGAGGGGGAGAUGGAAUUAGUGGUGUAGGGGUAAUAUCCGUAGAUAUCACUAGGAAUACCUAAAGCGAAGGCGAUCUCCUGGAACAUUACUGACGCUAAGGCGUGAAAGCGUGGGGAGCAAACAGGAUUAGAUACCCGUGUAGUC